Molecule: ribosomal RNA, 407 nt
Filed under: uncultured beta proteobacterium
Lineage: Bacteria; Pseudomonadati; Pseudomonadota; Betaproteobacteria
Description: bacterial SSU rRNA
Rfam family: Bacterial small subunit ribosomal RNA
Source: RNAcentral
GGAGCGGCCGAUGCCUGAUUAGCUAGUUGGUGGGGUAAAGGCCUACCAAGGCUACGAUCAGUAGUUGGUCUGAGAGGACGACCAGCCACACUGGGACUGAGACACGGCCCAGACUCCUACGGGAGGCAGCAGUGGGGAAUUUUGGACAAUGGGCGCAAGCCUGAUCCAGCAAUGCCGCGUGAGUGAAGAAGGCCUUCGGGUUGUAAAGCUCUUUCAGUCGAGAAGAAAAGGUUGUGACGAAUAAUCACAAUUCAUGACGGUAUCGACAGAAGAAGCACCGGCUAACUACGUGCCAGCAGCCGCGGUAAUACGUAGGGUGCGAGCGUUAAUCGGAAUUACUGGGCGUAAAGGGUGCGCAGGCGGCUUUGUAAGUCAGAUGUGAAAUCCCCGGGCUUAACCUGGGAAUU